CUACGGGAGGCAGCAGUGAGGAAUAUUGGACAAUGGGCGAGAGCCUGAUCCAGCCAUGCCGCGUGCAGGAAGACUGCCCUAUGGGUUGUAAACUGCUUUUACAGAGGAAGAACCACCCCCACGUGUGGGGGUUUGACGGUACUCUGCGAAUAAGGAUCGGCUAACUCCGUGCCAGCAGCCGCGGUAAUACGGAGGAUCCAAGCGUUAUCCGGAAUCAUUGGGUUUAAAGGGUCCGUAGGCGGGCAGUUAAGUCAGUGGUGAAAGUCUUCCGCUCAACGGGAGAACUGCCAUUGAUACUGAUUGUCUUGAGUUAUUAUGAAGUGGUUAGAAUGAGUAGUGUAGCGGUGAAAUGCAUAGAUAUUACUCAGAAUACCGAUUGCGAAGGCAGAUCACUAAUAAUAUACUGACGCUGAUGGACGAAAGCGUAGGUAGCGAACAGGAUUAGAUACCCUGGUAGUCUACGCCGUAAACGAUGGUUACUAGCUGUUCGGCCCAAUUGAGGGCUGAGUGGUUAAGCGAAAGUGAUAAGUAACCCACCUGGGGAGUACGUUCGCAAGAAUGAAACUCAAAGGAAUUGACG
RNAcentral lists this ribosomal RNA (580 nucleotides) under uncultured bacterium. RNAcentral describes it as "bacterial SSU rRNA". It matches the Rfam family "Bacterial small subunit ribosomal RNA", at positions 339 to 915 of the family's 1533-position model. The record is from RNAcentral.